UAUCUACACACACACACACAGGCACAAUGACAAACCGAAACAUGUGUGAAUUUCAGGUUUUCAAGUGGGAAAACUAUUUUUGAUAAUCUUUAACGGAGAAAAGGUAACAGCAAGUUGGCCGACAAUGGAAGAACGAGGAGAUAUCGUUGGUUUAACAGUGAAGAGCUCCUUUAGAAAGGAAAUGUGUUACCAAAGAAAAAUACCCUUAUGAAGACAAAUAAAUGAGCCAACGAGAGCCUUUCUAUUUAACUGGUCCAUUUGAUAGAUGUUCCAUCUAAAAUUCCCUCAAAAAAGGGCGGCAGAAGCGUUUUAUGACAGUGAAAGACGCACUUCUAAAUACACUGUUUUUUUUUUAAUAAAGACACGUGCGAUAGUCCCAUGUUGAACUCAUUAGGCGCUAGGUCUGUUCAAUAAGGAUAUUUGACCUGUGGCUAUAUACAAACAACAACAACGACAGCAAUGUGAAAGGAAGAUUUAAAAAAGAGAUGCCCCCCACCACCUCAAAAGUGAAGGAUAUCGAAGGUAACUGUUGCUGUUCAGCAUAAGUGACUGGAAACAUAAACUAGUCUAUGAGGACUGGAGUUGAGCACGUUCUUCAGGGUGGCGGACAUGUUGGAGGAAGAGGGAAGUGAAGGAGGAGUGGAUGGUGGAGCAAGUGAUGGCGGUGGGAGGGGGGUGCCCUCUGGAAUGUUUACUUCAUUAAUUGGAAGAAGCGUUUCAGCUCGAAGGCAGCGGACAUGCUGGGGCACCACUUUUUGCUUCGAUACACCUUAGCUAUUUGAAACCUCCUAGAAGAGGUUUCAAAUAUGUGGCAAUUACGUGAAGAAAGAAGUUGAUGUUGCUGCCCUCAUCUGCGAUACCUCCGAUGAGAAACAACGGCAAGCGCAGCAACACGAUCGAGGGUCAUGGCGGAGACAGCAAUAAAACUUCAACGACAGAAUCACCUCCAUAAACGGUGGUACGGCGUUAAAUCUAACUCAGGGACUUGUAUUUGUGCCAGUCACCAAAAAUGACAUUUUGGGCGUUCUUGGAAUCGGAAUGUCUUUUCAAUUUCUCACUAAUAGAUGUAAAUAAAGUAUUCAAAGUUUCAACAGGUAU
Molecule: long non-coding RNA, 1098 nt
Organism: Octopus sinensis (East Asian common octopus)
Lineage: Eukaryota; Metazoa; Mollusca; Cephalopoda; Octopoda; Octopodidae
Exons: 4
Source: RefSeq, a predicted model, not a curated record